GGACCCAUAGCUCAAUGGUAGAGCAUUCGACUCUUAAUCGACAGGUUGAAGGUUCAAGUCCUUCUGGGUCCACCA
This 75-nucleotide transfer RNA is filed under the name Alphaproteobacteria bacterium. Its description in RNAcentral is "tRNA-Lys". It matches the Rfam family "tRNA". From Rfam's summary of the family: Transfer RNA (tRNA) molecules are approximately 80 nucleotides in length. Their secondary structure includes four short double-helical elements and three loops (D, anti-codon, and T loops). Lineage: Bacteria; Pseudomonadati; Pseudomonadota; Alphaproteobacteria. The record is from RNAcentral. RNAcentral also lists the same sequence under 4 other names.